Brassica napus (rape) is the source of this 730-nucleotide long non-coding RNA. RefSeq lists it as uncharacterized. NCBI's taxonomy places the organism in Eukaryota, Viridiplantae, Streptophyta, Magnoliopsida, Brassicales, Brassicaceae. The record is from RefSeq and is a predicted model, not a curated record. The transcript is spliced from 2 exons.
AGGGUAAAAGGGUAAAAGGGUAAAAGGGUAAAAGGGAAAGGGAUAAAAGGAUAAAGGGUAAAAGGGUAAAAGGGUAAAAGGGUAAAAGGGUAAAAUGAUAAAGGGAUAAAUGGAUAAAGGGUAAUGCUAUUUUUGUCAUUUUUGUUUUUAAGAGCUAUUUUUAUGACAUAAACUUAGAAAUGUCUUAUUUUGAAGAUUUGCCCUUAUGAAAAUUCUGGUAAACCUCUCCAUGAGUUUGAGAAAUUUGAAUUUGAGAAACUUGAGUCUUCUUGGGGCAAUACCUGAUGCAUACCCAACAGGAAUGCUACUUUCUAUGUUAAGCUCAGUAUGGCAUUGGUCAAGUUUAUCAGAUGGAGGAAACCCUAUCACAUCGUCUAAGACAGACGUCUUUUGGGACAUGGACGAUUGCCCUAUCCCUGUUGGUCCCGAUCCUGAUAUGAUUUAUGAAAAUAUCACAUCAGCUCUUAAGGAUAAGGGUUAUCUUGGUGAGGUAUCAAUUAGUACUUAUGGAGAGAUCCAGAUUGAGUUUCAAUCUGCCGGAGUAUAUAUACACAACCUUUUUAUAUACAUAACCACAACGUUAAGUCAAAACCUUAUUCUACACAAGCUACUCAUUCCAUAUGCAUGUCCUAAGAGUCAGGGCAAAGGAUUCAUCUCAUAAAACAUACAAUAAGAAAGUGGAGUAGUUUUGCUCAAAAAAAAAAAAAAGAAAGUGGAGUAGCAGGAACCA